UCCCUACGGGAGGCAGCAGUAGGGAAUAUUGGGCAAUGGGCGCAAGCCUGACCCAGCAACGCCGCGUGAAGGAAGAAGGCUUUCGGGUUGUAAACUUCUUUUCUCAGGGACGAAGAAAGUGACGGUACCUGAGGAAUAAGCCACGGCUAACUACGUGCCAGCAGCCGCGGUAAUACGUAGGUGGCAAGCGUUAUCCGGAUUUACUGGGUGUAAAGGGGGCGCAGACGGCAAUGCAAGCCAGGAGUGAAAGCCCGGGGCCCAACCCCGGGACUGCUCUUGGAACUGCAUGGCUGGAGUACAGGAGG
This 305-nucleotide ribosomal RNA is filed under the name uncultured bacterium. RNAcentral describes it as "bacterial SSU rRNA". It matches the Rfam family "Bacterial small subunit ribosomal RNA", at positions 335 to 655 of the family's 1533-position model. The record is from RNAcentral.